GAUGAACGCUGGCGGCGUGCCUAAUACAUGCAAGUCGAGCGAACGGACGAGAAGCUUGCUUCUCUGAUGUUAGCGGCGGACGGGUGAGUAACACGUGGAUAACCUACCUAUAAGACUGGGAUAACUUCGGGAAACUGGAGCUAAUACCGGAUAAUAUUUUGAACCGCAUGGUUCAAAAGUAAAAGACGGUCUUGCUGUCACUUAUAGAUGGAUCCGCGCUGCAUUAGCUAGUUGGUAAGGUAACGGCUUACCAAGGCAACGAUGCAUAGCCGACCUGAGAGGGUGAUCGGCCACACUGGAACUGAGACACGGUCCAGACUCCUACGGGAGGCAGCAGUAGGGAAUCUUCCGCAAAGGGCGAAAGCCUGACGGAGCAACGCCGCGGGAGUGAUGAAGGUCUUCGGAUCGUAAAACUCUGUUAUUAGGGAAGAACAUAUGUGUAAGUAACUGUGCACAUCUUGACGGUACCUAAUCAGAAAGCCACGGCUAACUACGUG
This 497-nucleotide ribosomal RNA is filed under the name uncultured bacterium. RNAcentral's name for it is "partial 16S ribosomal RNA". It matches the Rfam family "Bacterial small subunit ribosomal RNA", at positions 28 to 507 of the family's 1533-position model. The record is from RNAcentral.